GUUCCUCACAGGUGAUUUCAACGAAAUCAUAGACAAUUCAGAGAAGUGUGGGGGGGGCCUGAGAGAGCGGAAGGCUCUUUUUGUGCUUUCAGAACGUUUCUCUCUAAGCAUGACUUAUUUGACUUGAAGCUUUGUGGAAGUUUUCUAUCUUGGAGAGGGAAAAGGCAUACUCACCUGGUCCAAUGUAGACUAGACAGAGCGCUAUGCAACACUGAAUGGUCAGACCUUUUCCCUUCCUGCCGCAGUCAAUAUCUCCGAUAUGAGGGGUCUGAUCACCGGCCCCUAAUCUCCUUCCUGGAUACGAGAAAAAAGAG
This 314-nucleotide long non-coding RNA is filed under the name Brassica napus (rape). RNAcentral describes it as "long non-coding RNA (BNAP_LNC016896)". The record is from RNAcentral. Lineage: Eukaryota; Viridiplantae; Streptophyta; Magnoliopsida; Brassicales; Brassicaceae.